Molecule: long non-coding RNA, 540 nt
Organism: Ixodes scapularis (black-legged tick)
Lineage: Eukaryota; Metazoa; Arthropoda; Arachnida; Ixodida; Ixodidae
Exons: 3
Source: RefSeq, a predicted model, not a curated record
GACCAUCGAGGAUGGUAUCUGCUCGUCGAAGCCGCCUGGAUCACUCUGACCUUGGGAGGUUCAACGGCACUCUCCGAUGCCGAUGAGCCGUGCGGUAUCGCUCUUGAGCGGUCUCGGAGGGCAGAAAUGACCCCGGAGGAACGCUUGCAAAGCUGUUUCGGACAAAACGGCUUCAAACAUGUAAACUGCGUGUUCCACGGUGGCUCCGUUAGCUGUCGCUCGCUCGGCUACAACCCAGAAUUGGCAGAAGCCAUCGCCACGGGGGGGGUGGCGGCCGGCCUCAUCUGCGUCGCCGUCUUCGCCGUCGUCGCAUGGUGGUGCAAAAGACGAAAGAGACGGAAUGCAGCUAGAAUCUAGGCGCCACAUACAUCGUGAGCGGCACCUGCUACGAGAAAAACAGCCAUCGGAUCAAACAACCAACAUCGGAUGACACUGGCAGCGAAUUUCACAAGAUCUGAGAGAUGCAUCGACGGCCCAAUUGUUUUCCACCGUCAUUACGGCAAGCAAUGCCGGCGAUGAAAUAAAUCAGUGAAUCAAAAA